This 207-nucleotide ribosomal RNA is filed under the name uncultured bacterium. RNAcentral describes it as "partial 16S ribosomal RNA". It matches the Rfam family "Bacterial small subunit ribosomal RNA", at positions 568 to 774 of the family's 1533-position model. The record is from RNAcentral.
CACGUAGGCGGACAUUUAAGUCAGGGGUGAAAUCCCAGAGCUCAACUCUGGAACUGCCUUUGAUACUGGGUGUCUAGAGUAUGGAAGAGGUGAGUGGAAUUCCGAGUGUAGAGGUGAAAUUCGUAGAUAUUCGGAGGAACACCAGUGGCGAAGGCGGCUCACUGGUCCAUUACUGACGCUGAGGUGCGAAAGCGUGGGGAGCAAACA